AAGGCUGUAGCUCACUGGAAGAGCAUCUGCCUGGCCUGCAGAGGGUCCUAGGUUCAAAUCCUGUUGGCCUCU
Molecule: non-coding RNA, 72 nt
Organism: Podarcis lilfordi (Lilford's wall lizard)
Lineage: Eukaryota; Metazoa; Chordata; Lepidosauria; Squamata; Lacertidae
Source: the annotation of a GenBank genome assembly